This is a long non-coding RNA of Taeniopygia guttata (zebra finch), 2289 nucleotides long. The record is from Ensembl. Lineage: Eukaryota; Metazoa; Chordata; Aves; Passeriformes; Estrildidae.
CCGGCACGCUCCACAAAUUCCCAGCUUCUGGCACGGAGAGCGCCAGAUGGGCUUCCCGAUGCUCCAGCGCAGUGCGGGAAAGCAAUUCCUGCGCGGCAGGGAUCGCCGGGAUGCUGAACCCGCUCUCCUGCCCCUACCCGUUAUUCCCACAUGGAUAUGGAGACGUUCCGAGCCACGGCAGGCUGUCUGAAUUCCCAAAAAGGAUUUGGAAGGCAGCAGGAUCCCGCCAGCGCUGUCGAGCACCUGCUGCCUUCCCUGGAUGUGUGAUCCUUGUGGGUAUUUUGGGAACGGGCCAUUUCAUUGCCUGGAUGAGGACUUGCAGCGCUCCAGCGGCGCCUGUCGCUCUUCCUGAUUCCUCUCCAAGAGCUGGGAAGGAGAGGGAAGUGUUGGUGUUCCAGAGGCUCCAGAGCCAUCCCUGUGGCUGGGGUGUGUCCGUGAUGUUCGACGGGGGCUUUAUCGGGAAGGUGCCGGAUUUAGAACGGCUCCACCGCGGUGCCAGGGAGGAUCCAACAACCCGGCUGCCAGCAGGAAUGGGAUGGGGAUCCAUCCUGGAGGAGCUGGAAGUGCAAAUCCCAGGGAGGGGUGUGAUGGUUAGAGCUGGACUGGAGUGGGAAUGUGGGCGCCCAUCUUGGAGAUACUCCCACUUCCCUCAUGCCAACACUUCCACCAGGGAUGAGAUGGGAUAUGGGCUGGGAUGGGAAGGGAAAGGGUGGGAAAGAAUAAGAUAGGAUGAGAAGGAAUGGGAAAGAAUGGGAUGGGCCACUAUCCCAGCACACAGGAGACAUCCAUGUGGAAGCCCCAGGGCAGCAGCACGAGGCAGGAGGAGCUGGAGCAGCUUCUGGAGAACUCUGGUAAAAUCCCAUUCUGAAUCCAGCCCUUCCUGAGUGGUUUUCCACAGGGACGAGGUGAGGUGGGAGAAUGGAGCUGGGGAAUGGAAUCCCUGGAAUGCAGCCCUGGGAAUGGGUGUGAAGGGCCAAGGGCAACCAAUGGCAUCAGGAGCACUGGGACAUGCUGGGAUGGGAGCGUGAGGAACUCUGGGAUGCACUGGAAACAUCAGCAUCCCUGGGAAGAGCACCAGGAUGCACCAGGAGCACUGGGAGAACUGGGAACAGAAGAAACACUGGAAUGCACCGCGAGCAUUGGGAUGCAUUGGAACUGGGUCCCUUCGAAGCACAGGGAUGCUCCAGGAGCGCUGGGAUGGCUGGGAAGAGGGAGCACCGGGACGCAGCGGGAUGCGCCGGUAGCCCCGGGAUGCGGCGGUGCGGUCUGAAAGCUCCUCCUCGUGGCUCCCGGGGAGAACUACCGGGAGAGGCCCGGGAUACACGGGAGAGCCCCGGUGCACGGCCCGGGCCGAGGCGCCGGGGCACGGAGCGUCCCAGCAUCCCGGGAAAUAUGGGGAGACGGGAAUUCCGGGAUGGAACGGAUCUCCCCGUUCCCGCAAGCAGCCGGGAUGGGACGGGGCCGCAUCCCGGCUCACCUGCCAUGGGAACGCCACCAGCGGGGACCACUCUCCGCACAGAGCCACCGACCAUCCCGGAAAAUCCCGGAGCGCCGCCGGGAUGGGGGGAUUCUGGGAAGGAUUGGUGUUAACGCAUGGAAUGUGAUUUCAGGCCACGGUCCUGGCUGAUCCAAGUGUGGGAGAGAGGCGGGAGUGGAAAAUCACUUCUGCUGCGAGCAGCAAUUCCUUUAUUUUUCCUUUUGCUGGCAAAGGUAUUGAAAAUGAGAGGGAGAGAGGAGGAAUGGGAACAUCCAGGACCCUCAGGGCAGCUGCAGCUGUGCUUCCAGAGAGCUUUCCAUGGAUGGUCAAAUGGAUUGCACUGGGUCCCCAGCCCAGCAGCUUGCUGGUACUCCAUGGGAGAUGUCCCUAAAGUGGUGGGAAUAUCGAGGAAUCCCUCUUAGGGAGCAGGGCCUGGCAGUAUCAGAGGGAUGCCUGGAAGGGAGGGAGGAGGUGUGGGAUUGGGGUAAUUUUUGGAGCCAAUGGUGGGGUUAUGCUUUGCUCAUCCCCUUUCGUACCUGAUCCAAGUGGGAUGUGCCACCAUUGGGAUCUCUCCCAGCUCUGUUAUUUGGGAAAGGGUCCCACCCCCAUUCCAUAUUGUGCCCUCCAGUCAGAGCUCCACAAGGAAAAGUCAAUACCUGACUUCCAAAAAAAGCAGCUGCUGGUGGCUUUUUAUAGCAACCUGUCCCAUUUGCAUCCUCCCUCAGCCCAGGCCCAGGGAGCCCGACCUCUGGCUAAAUUAGCUGUGCAUUCCCAAGGGAAACAGCCUUGGAAAAGCAGGAAGGGAGCUUGGC